UAGGGAAUCUUCCGCAAUGGACGCAAGUCUGACGGAGCAACGCCGCGUGAGUGAAGAAGGAUUUCGGUUCGUAAUACUCUGUUGUUAGAGAAGAACAGCGCAUAGAGUAACUGUUAUGCGUGUGACGGUAUCUAACCAGAAAGCCACGGCUAACUACGUGCCAGCAGCCGCGGUAAUACGUAGGUGGCAAGCGUUGUCCGGAUUUAUUGGGCGUAAAGCGAGCGCAGGCGGUUAGAUAAGUCUGAAGUUAAAGGCAGUGGCUCAACCAUUGUAGGCUUUGGAAACUGUUUAACUUGAGUGCAGAAGGGGAGAGUGGAAUUCCAUGUGUAGCGGUGAAAUGCGUAGAUAUAUGGAGGAACACCGGUGGCGAAAGCGGCUCUCUGGUCUGUAACUGACGCUGAGGCUCGAAAGCGUGGGGAGCGAACAGG
Molecule: ribosomal RNA, 428 nt
Filed under: Bacteroidota bacterium
Lineage: Bacteria; Pseudomonadati; Bacteroidota
Description: Bacteroidetes bacterium partial 16S ribosomal RNA
Rfam family: Bacterial small subunit ribosomal RNA
Source: RNAcentral